RNAcentral lists this long non-coding RNA (249 nucleotides) under Capsicum annuum. RNAcentral describes it as "long non-coding RNA (CANN_LNC016056)". Lineage: Eukaryota; Viridiplantae; Streptophyta; Magnoliopsida; Solanales; Solanaceae. The record is from RNAcentral.
UAUUACAUGGAGAUAAUCCACAACUAAAUACUAUUACGGACUUUAUAAUAAACCUAGGAGAAAAAGUUCAAAAAGAAAAUACAAAAAUAUUAAAAACUCUAGUCCAAAUUAUAUGAUAAAUUCUUUAGAAUUUGGAAAAUAUAUAAAGAUAGAUAUUCAUAUUAAAGGAUACAAAGAAAUGAGUAAUGGAAAUAAUUUAUAAAUAUGUGUAGGAUUUAUAGUCUGACUUUACUAUAUAUGCUGUUGUAA